GGCGGGACUUGGGAUGGCCCCGCCCCUCGGCGGUCCCGCCCUUGCGCAUGGGAGGAGGGCGCGGGGAGCCGGUGUCUUCUGCCGCGGUCGCAGGCUCGCGGUGUCCGGCAGCCCGAGGUCUCCGCUCGCUGUGGCUGCCACCAUGUAUCUCUGCAGGGCCGCCUCGCAGGUGCUGGCUGCUCGCCUGAGCCGGGCCCCCUCUGCUGCGAGCCGCCUCAAGCAGCGUGGUACGCGGGGGCCGCCUCGGAGCUCGACCCGGGGCCCGGCACCUCUUCGCCAGAUGGCAUCUGGGAGUGUUCCUGGCUCUUCUGGAGAGACCAUGAUUUACUAUCUCCUUGCUGGUGCUGCUGCUUUUGGUGGUUUAUUUUAUGCCUACAGAGUAGUCAGUUCAUCCCGCAGCAACUAUAUUGAACAUAUGAAUAUUCUUCAGGAGAGAGCUCAGUCACGGAAAGGCAGGGGUGACGAAGAAGAGAUGGCUGAAGUCACUGAAGGGAAGACAGCCACGGACGAGGCUGACGCAGUGGCUGCUGUGGGACCUGCAGCACAGGAUGAGAGUUCUGGGGUAUCCCCAGAAACUGGAGAGGAGACUGACUUACCGGCUCCAGAGGCAUCCCCUGCUGUGGAGGAAGCACAGCAGGAACCUGCUGCUAAUGUGGAAGUUGAUGCUAAUUCAGAAGCUGCUGCAGUGCAAGAAACUGUGAGUGAAGUCUUGGAUGUUACAGCUGCUUCUGCCCAAGAGGAAAACUCAGAUGCUGUCGAGGAAGGAGUAGCCUCAGCAGCUCAAGAGAUUUCUGACACACCCUCAGGGAACCAGGACAUUGAUGCUGAGGAGUCGGGGCGAACGUCAGAAGUUUCUGUGGAGGACAAGACACCUGAAGAAGUGGCUAAGGAACCCUAAAGGUACAUGGUACAGUUGCAGCAUGUGGUUUCCCACUCUCACCUUGCUGUUUUUCUUAGUUAGUGGCAAUUGCAGCGUCUGUGAACAGCGCUGAAUCCUUUGAAAAAGUUUAAUUGGAAAUAUUUGUGGCAAUCAACCAGCUGAUUCCUGUGUGAAACCUCAUACUCUUCCCUGGAGACAUGUGCAGUUUGUCAUAGCACAUCCUGCUCAUUAGGACCAGUAUUCAUCGCUGCAACAGACAACCUAAUACGAUUUAAGCUGGUUAGAGAGAUGCUUCUGUGACUAACAUCUCUGCUUUAGAAAGUAGCAUCCAGUAAUAAAUGUCAAAGCACCACCCAGCAUGUAAUAAAUACACAUGCUAAGAGAAGCAGUAGACUUAACAGAAACCAUGUCAGGUGAACUCAUUUUAGGUCUUUGUCUCAUUACAUACAAUGAUUUCUUACUUUUGGUCCAAACCAUGGUGCAUAAUUAUACCAUUGUAACAUUCCAUGCUAAAAUGUAAGUUAAAAGUUUUAAUGAAGUUAAAAUCUUAUAAAAAUUAUCAGCUAGUAUUUUUAAAUUCGGUCAUGGGGAAAAUAACAACUUUGUUUACUCAUUAGUUUUGGAUUUGUUGUUGUAAGCAUAGAACAUUUGGCUGUACAAGAUCUAGUUUUCCUCCUGUGUUAAGCAUUUUAGAUGCUGCCCUUCCUUGUGCAAUAAUAUCCAGGAGUAAACGUUUUUAAGGCUCCUGCUUUGGGAACAAAAACUGUUUGCGACUGGAAGCAAUAGGCAAUUUAGAGCAUGAAAAUGAAAAUAACACCGACAGAAGUUAUCAUCAUUGAUUGACGUGGUGGCUCUUAACUUGGGGGUGCUGGACCCUGUUCCUACCAAACCUCAUUCAGGUUCUUGUAGUCUUUCUGUGUUGUUCUGCCUUAGCAGUGACCCGCAGCGGCGAUGUGACAACACAAAGGUUUCCAAGAAUGCUCUUGUACAAAUCACAUGCAGUUUAUGCUACAGCAAAGCUCCUCUCUGAGAGCUUGCAGAUGUCCAGCAAAAUCCCUGUGGAAGGCUAUGCCACAGCUGUUCAAAUGGAUGAGGGUUCUUAGAGACUGAUAAAGAACAGAAUAGCUAAAUAAUCUUGUGUUGUUAAUAUCACCUUAAUAAUGAAAAAAAUCUAUAAUGAAUGGUGGGUUUGCAUGGCACUGUUCUCCUCACCCUCCAUUGUGCUAUGUGCAUGAGUGUGCAUCUGCUGCAACAUUUUUACUGAGACCCCCACCAGCAAAAAAGCAAUACAGCCAUCACACAAUGGUGAUAAUUCUAAACCAGGGCCAAACAAGGUAUAUUGUACACAAUUUAUAUCGAAAGUGUGAAUUAUAAGGUAUAUCUGACUGCUUCCUCUUCAAGCAGAACUUUGGAAAAAUGUUGAAAGGGAAAUCACAGCACUAUGACAUUCCUACCCAUGGCACAAAGCAACACAUGCUCCUUCCCCUAUCGUAAAGCAAAUCAUAAUAGUGUUCUAAUAAAAAUACAGCUUAUUGACCCUGUACCUGCUUAGGAAUAACUGGAAUAAUGCAGAGGCAAAAUCAAGCUAAGCUUCAAGAAGCCAUACCACAGCCUUCUGUUUAAAAGAUAAAGCCACUGUGAUUAAAAGCAAUUUUUGUUGACAAAGCUACUGGAAUAAAAGUCUUAGACUGCUA
This is an RNA transcript of Columba livia (rock pigeon), 2574 nucleotides long. It is a transcript of the gene named mitochondria localized glutamic acid rich protein, with no coding region annotated. The transcript is spliced from 7 exons. The record is from RefSeq and is a predicted model, not a curated record. NCBI's taxonomy places the organism in Eukaryota, Metazoa, Chordata, Aves, Columbiformes, Columbidae.